RNAcentral lists this transfer RNA (69 nucleotides) under Ictidomys tridecemlineatus (thirteen-lined ground squirrel). RNAcentral's name for it is "Spermophilus tridecemlineatus (thirteen-lined ground squirrel) tRNA". It matches the Rfam family "tRNA". Rfam says of the family: Transfer RNA (tRNA) molecules are approximately 80 nucleotides in length. Their secondary structure includes four short double-helical elements and three loops (D, anti-codon, and T loops). Further hydrogen bonds mediate the characteristic L-shaped molecular structure. tRNAs have two regions of fundamental functional importance: the anti-codon, which is responsible for specific mRNA codon recognition, and the 3' end, to which the tRNAs corresponding amino acid is attached (by aminoacyl-tRNA synthetases). tRNAs cope with the degeneracy of the genetic code in two manners: having more than one tRNA (with a specific anti-codon) for a particular amino acid; and 'wobble' base-pairing, i.e. permitting non-standard base-pairing at the 3rd anti-codon position. The record is from Rfam by way of RNAcentral. Lineage: Eukaryota; Metazoa; Chordata; Mammalia; Rodentia; Sciuridae.
GGGGCUGUGGCUUAGUGGUAGAGCACUCGCCUAACAAGUAUGAAGCACUGGGUUCAAUCCUCAGCACCA